UACGUAGGGUGCGAGCGUUGUCCGGAAUUACUGGGCGUAAAGGGCUCGUAGGUGGCCAACUAAGUCAGACGUGAAAUCCCUCGGCUUAACCGGGGAACUGCGUCUGAUACUGGAUGGCUUGAGUUUGGGAGAGGGAUGCGGAAUUCCAGGUGUAGCGGUGAAAUGCGUAGAUAUCUGGAGGAACACCGGUGGCGAAGGCGGCAUCCUGGACCAACACUGACACUGAGGAGCGAAAGCCAGGGGAGCAAACGGG
This 253-nucleotide ribosomal RNA is filed under the name uncultured bacterium. RNAcentral describes it as "partial 16S ribosomal RNA". It matches the Rfam family "Bacterial small subunit ribosomal RNA", at positions 524 to 776 of the family's 1533-position model. The record is from RNAcentral.